CCUACGGGCGGCAGCAGUGAGGAAUAUUGGUCAAUGGACGAGAGUCUGAACCAGCCAAGUAGCGUGAAGGAUGACUGCCCUAUGGGUUGUAAACUUCUUUUAUAUGGGAAUAAAAUGUUCCACGUGUGGGAUUUUGUAUGUACCAUAUGAAUAAGGAUCGGCUAACUCCGUGCCAGCAGCCGCGGUAAUACGGGGGAUCCGAGCUUUAUCCGGAUUUAUUGGGUUUAAGGGGAGCGUAGGUGGAUUGUUAAGUCAGUUGUGAAAGUUUGCGGCUCAACCGUAAAAUUGUAGUUGAAACUGGCAGUCUGGAGUACAGUAGAGGUGGGCGGAAUUCGUGGUGUAGCGGUGAAAUGCUUAGAUAUCACGAAGAACUCCGAUUGCGAAGGCAGCUCACUGGACUGCAACUGACACUGAGGCUCGAAAGUGUGGGUAUCAAACAGGAUUAGAUACCCUGGUAGUC
RNAcentral lists this ribosomal RNA (460 nucleotides) under uncultured bacterium. RNAcentral's name for it is "partial 16S ribosomal RNA". It matches the Rfam family "Bacterial small subunit ribosomal RNA", at positions 338 to 795 of the family's 1533-position model. The record is from RNAcentral.